GAUUAAGCGCAGGAAAAGAAACCAACAGGGAUUGCCCCAGUAACGGCGAGUGAAGCGGCAACAGCUCAAAUUUGAAAUCUGGCUUCGGCCCGAGUUGUAAUUUGCAGAGGAAGCUUUAGGCGCGGCACCAUCUGAGUCCCCUGGAACGGGGCGCCACAGAGGGUGAGAGCCCCGUAUAGAUGGACGCCUAGCCUGUGUAAAGCUCCUUCGACGAGUCGAGUAGUUUGGGAAUGCUGCUCAAAAUGGGAGGUAAAUUUCUUCUAAAGCUAAAUACCGGCCAGAGACCGAUAGCGCACAAGUAGAGUGAUCGAAAGAUGAAAAGCACUUUGAAAAGAGGGUUAAAUAGCACGUGAAAUUGUUGAAAGGGAAGCGCUUGUGACCAGACUUGCACCGGGCGGAUCAUCCGGUGUUCUCACCGGUGCACUCCGCCCGGCUCAGGCCAGCAUCGGUUCUCGUGGGGGGAUAAAGGCCCCGGGAACGUAGCUCCUCCGGCAGUGUUAUAGCCCGGGGCGUAAUGCCCUCGCGGGGACCGAGGACCGCGCAUCUGCAAGGAUGCUGGCGUGAUGGUCAUCAGCGACCCGUCUUGAAACACGGACCAAGGAGUCAAGGUUUUGCGCGAGUGUUUGGGUGUAAAACCCGCACGCGUAAAAAAGUGAACGUAGGUGAGAGCUUCGGCGCAUCAUCGACCGAUCCUGAUGUUUUCGGCGGAUUGA
Molecule: ribosomal RNA, 713 nt
Filed under: uncultured Zopfiella
Lineage: Eukaryota; Fungi; Ascomycota; Sordariomycetes; Sordariales; Chaetomiaceae
Description: eukaryotic LSU rRNA
Rfam family: Eukaryotic large subunit ribosomal RNA
Source: RNAcentral